UUCGCAAUGCCCGAAAGGGUGACGAAGCGACGCCGCGUGUGGGAAGAAGGCCUUCGGGUUGUAAACCACUGUCGGGAGUUAGGAAAUGUAAGGGUGCUAAUAGUAUCCUUACUUGACUAAGGCUCCGGAGGAAGCCACGGCUAACUCUGUGCCAGCAGCCGCGGUAAUACAGAGGCGGCAAGCGUUGUUCGGAAUUAUUGGGCGUAAAGAGCACGUAGGCGGCCUUGUAAGUCAGUUGUGAAAGCCUUCUGCUUAACGGAAGAACGGCAGUUGAAACUACAGGGCUUGGGUACGGGAGGGGAGAGUGGAACUUCUGGUGGAGCGGUGAAAUGCGUAGAUAUCAGAAGGAACGCCGGCGGCGAAAGCGACUCUCUGGACCGUAACUGACGCUGAGUGUGCGAAAGCUAGGGGAGCAAACGGGAUUAGAUACCCCGGUAGUCCUAGCCGUAAACGAUGGGCACUAAGUAGAG
Molecule: ribosomal RNA, 470 nt
Filed under: uncultured bacterium
Lineage: Bacteria
Description: bacterial SSU rRNA
Rfam family: Bacterial small subunit ribosomal RNA
Source: RNAcentral